GGGUGAUUAGCUCAGUUGGUAGAGCAUCUCCUUUACACGGAGGGGGUCGCAGGUUCGAAUCCUGCACGACCCACCA
Molecule: transfer RNA, 76 nt
Filed under: Enterobacter cloacae
Lineage: Bacteria; Pseudomonadati; Pseudomonadota; Gammaproteobacteria; Enterobacterales; Enterobacteriaceae
Also listed under: 1 other name
Description: tRNA-Val
Rfam family: tRNA
About the family: Transfer RNA (tRNA) molecules are approximately 80 nucleotides in length. Their secondary structure includes four short double-helical elements and three loops (D, anti-codon, and T loops).
Source: RNAcentral